Rana temporaria (common frog) is the source of this 102-nucleotide long non-coding RNA. RefSeq lists it as uncharacterized. The record is from RefSeq and is a predicted model, not a curated record. NCBI's taxonomy places the organism in Eukaryota, Metazoa, Chordata, Amphibia, Anura, Ranidae. The transcript has 3 exons.
GCCACAUUAGUGGAUGCUGGCGAGAUGACCAUCAAGGCUGAAGUAUGGCAACACUGUGCUGUUUGAGAGUAAACGGAGAGACAAGUUGCAAUUGAAAAUGUU